Molecule: ribosomal RNA, 274 nt
Filed under: uncultured bacterium
Lineage: Bacteria
Description: partial 16S ribosomal RNA
Rfam family: Bacterial small subunit ribosomal RNA
Source: RNAcentral
AUACGGAGGGUCCAAGCGUUAUCCGGAAUCAUUGGGUUUAAAGGGUCCGCAGGCGGUCAAUUAAGUCAGAGGUGAAAGCCCAUCGCUCAACGAUGGAACUGCCUUUGAUACUGGUUGACUUGAGUUAUACGGAAGUAGAUAGGAUAAGUAGUGUAGCGGUGAAAUGCAUAGAUAUUACUUAGAAUACCGAUUGCGAAGGCAGUCUACUACGCAUAUACUGACGCUGAGGGACGAAAGCGUGGGGAGCGAACAGGAUUAGAAACCCUAGUAGUCC